Podarcis lilfordi (Lilford's wall lizard) is the source of this 119-nucleotide non-coding RNA. The record is from the annotation of a GenBank genome assembly. Lineage: Eukaryota; Metazoa; Chordata; Lepidosauria; Squamata; Lacertidae.
GGGGAGGAGAGAGGGACAGAGAGUCUGCUUGCUUUAAAGGAGCCAACCAGACAGGAGUUCCCCUCCUCUCCCGCUUUGGUCCUUUAAAGAAGCAGGCUCUCUGUCCCUCUCUCCUCCCC